Long non-coding RNA from Lutra lutra (Eurasian river otter), 1400 nucleotides. RefSeq lists it as uncharacterized. The transcript has 3 exons. Lineage: Eukaryota; Metazoa; Chordata; Mammalia; Carnivora; Mustelidae. The record is from RefSeq and is a predicted model, not a curated record.
GGUGAACAUAGGGAUUAAAGACAAUAACCAAAGAGGUGUACAGAGUCAGAAGAUAGAAACAACUGCUCAGUAGGGAUGACAAGAGAAAGAAGACAGAAUUAGGUCAAUUCCACUUGAUGGCAGGACUCUUAACAAGUGACAAAAUAAGCUGAUUUUACAGAGGAAGGAAGUACAGUUUUUCUUUCUGUGGCUAUUUUCACAAUUUUUUGAUGACUUUCUAUUGCGAUAUUACCUAAUCGCCUCUCAAGGCCUGAAGUUCUUUUUGUGUGAUAUUUGUGAAUUGUAAAUCAAGGACUAACAACAAUUGAGGGUUUCAUUUUUUAGUAUAUGUUUGCAUCAAGUCAAAUGCUCUCACAUGAUGUUUUCCAAGGAAAAAGUUGUGCCUCUGUUGUGUUUUUAUUUUCACACUAUCUCAGAUCAUUUCAGAGCAGUAUCCCAAGCCCCAAUUAAUGCUUUUCUGUAUAUAACAUUGAAAUUCCACAACCUAAUAUUCAAUAACCAACACAGAAUAAAUUAUCAGUUAGAAGACCCAAGUUGUCCAGGACACUCAGCUAACCUGAAUUCUCUUGCCCAUGGCAUGGAUGGCAUGGAUGAGAAAGAACUCACAAUUACCUGGAAAACCAUCAGCUGCAAAUCGGAUGCUCCCCAAGGAUUCCCAAGUCCUCAUUCAAAGGGAAACACCAGAAGGGUCUUUCCACUGUGUGGUUCUUUAAGCCUCUCCAAGUCUUCACCCAAAUGAGAAUAGAGCUUCAUAAUGAUAUGAAUUGAAUUCAACUGGAAAAAUGACAUUAUCACCUGGCCAAGCAUAUCAUCAUGUGUCCACCAUGAGUUAAUGCCAUUUAUACCAAGAGUACCAAUGUACUAAUGUAACUAUAUUUGAAGAUAGAGCCUUUGAAGAGGUAAUUAAAGUUAAAUGAAGUCUUAAAAGUGGGGCUUUAAUUUAAUAGGACUAUGUUCUUUACAAGAGGAAGAGACACCAGAGAUACACACAGAGAAAAGCUCACAUGAGGACACAGAGAGAAGGUGGCCAUCUGCAAUCCAAACAGAGAGGUCUCAGGAGAAACCCAAUUCACUGGAACCUUUACCUGGGACUUCUGCCCUCCAAGACUGUGAGAAAAUAAAUUUCUGUUAUUUAAGCCACCCUGUCUGUGGUAUUUUGUCAUGACACCUCUAGCAAACAAAUACAGGGACACAACCAAAAGCAAGACAGACAUGGAAUUUUACUAGGAAACCAAUAUUUUCCCCAAUGAUGAAUGAAACUCAAUUGCAAAAAUGAUUAGAAAAAAGAAGUUCAGAGUGCUUUUUGCCUAAGGUAAGCUCUCUCUCUUUCUUGAUACUCUAUGCUCUUUUACCAGCUAUUAUGUCACCUUCCUCUGCCACCAGGUACAAUAAUAAAAAGU